This 253-nucleotide ribosomal RNA is filed under the name uncultured bacterium. RNAcentral describes it as "partial 16S ribosomal RNA". It matches the Rfam family "Bacterial small subunit ribosomal RNA", at positions 524 to 776 of the family's 1533-position model. The record is from RNAcentral.
UACGGGGGGGGCAAGCGUUGUUCGGAAUUACUGGGCGUAAAGGGCUCGUAGGUGGCCAACUAAGUCAGACGUGAAAUCCCCAGGCUCAACUUGGGAACUGCGUCUGAUACUGGAUGGCUUGAAUUCGGGAGAGGGAUGCAGAAUUCCAGGUGUAGCGGUGAAAUGCGUAGAUAUCUGGAGGAAUACCGGUGGCGACGGCGGCAUCCUGGACCGAGAUUGACACUGAUGAGCGAAAGCCAGGGGAGCAAACGGG